AUACGGAGGGUGCAAGCGUUACUCGGAAUCACUGGGCGUAAAGCGCGCGCAGGCGGGUAGAUAAGUUGGAAGUGAAAUCCUAUGGCUUAACCAUAGAACUGCUUCCAAAACUGUCUAUCUAGAGUCUGGGAGGGGAAGAUGGAAUUAGUUGUGUAGGGGUAAAAUCCGUAGAGAUAACUAGGAAUACCAAAAGCGAAGGCGAUCUUCUGGAACAGUACUGACGCUGAGGCGCGAAAGCGUGGGGAGCAAACAGGAUUAGAAACCCUAGUAGUCC
RNAcentral lists this ribosomal RNA (274 nucleotides) under uncultured bacterium. Its description in RNAcentral is "partial 16S ribosomal RNA". It matches the Rfam family "Bacterial small subunit ribosomal RNA", at positions 523 to 796 of the family's 1533-position model. The record is from RNAcentral.